RNAcentral lists this ribosomal RNA (253 nucleotides) under uncultured bacterium. RNAcentral's name for it is "partial 16S ribosomal RNA". It matches the Rfam family "Bacterial small subunit ribosomal RNA", at positions 524 to 776 of the family's 1533-position model. The record is from RNAcentral.
UACGAAGGGGGCUAGCGUUGUUCGGAAUCACUGGGCGUAAAGGGCGCGUAGGCGGCUUUAUAAGUCGGGGGUGAAAGCCUGUGGCUCAACCACAGAAUUGCCUUCGAUACUGUAGAGCUUGAGACCGGAAGAGGUAAGUGGAACUGCGAGUGUAGAGGUGAAAUUCGUAGAUAUUCGCAAGAACACCAGUGGCGAAGGCGGCUUACUGGUCCGGUUCUGACGCUGAAGCGCGAAAGCGUGGGGAGCAAACAGG